This 104-nucleotide non-coding RNA is filed under the name Paenibacillus sp. RNAcentral's name for it is "Guanine sequence". It matches the Rfam family "Purine riboswitch aptamer". From Rfam's summary of the family: Riboswitches are metabolite binding domains within certain messenger RNAs that serve as precision sensors for their corresponding targets. Lineage: Bacteria; Bacillati; Bacillota; Bacilli; Caryophanales; Paenibacillaceae. The record is from RNAcentral. RNAcentral also lists the same sequence under 2 other names.
AACGAACGCAAUUUCAUAACUCGUAUAAUCAUGGGGAUAUGGCCCAUAAGUUUCUACCGGAUGACCAAUGCAAUCGUCCGACUAUGAGUGAGAACGCCUUUUUU